ACCAGUCUUCUUCUCCCUUCCCUGAUCCCUGGGCAUCAGCAUCAUGGGCCCAGGUGGCCUUGGGCCAGGGAUGGCGUAGGCCAGUCAAGGCCUCACCCAGACGUCACCACCCCCUUCUUACAGUCCGCCAGCUCCUCAGGAGUGGAGUCAGCCCCGACCUGGCCAAUGAGGAUGGGCUGACAGCACUGCACCAGGUCAGCCUGUGUGCGGGGUGGGCAGGGCAGGGGCUGGCAGGGCUCAGGCCACUCAGGCUGUGUGUUUGCAGUGCUGCAUUGAUGAUUUCCGAGAGAUGGUGCAACAGCUCCUGGAGGCUGGGGCUGACGUCAAUGCCCGUGACAGCGAGUGCUGGACCCCCCUGCAUGCUGCAGCCACCUGUGGCCACCUGCACCUGGUGGAGCUUCUCAUUGCCCGGUAGUGUCCAUUGGGCCUUUAUCAUGGAGGGGCUUUCUCACAGAUGGCAGCUCAUGUGGCUAUUCUGUGAAGCUGGUCAGGUCCUGGCUUCCUGUGUCCUCACCUCUGUCCAUCCUGCUUGAGACCCCUGGGGGAUAGUUUGGGCCCACCUGGUAGGCUGGACCACCAGCUCUGGAUGGAGGGCCUUCUCAUGGUCUCCCCUGAGAAAUGCCAUUCUGGUUAGGGUUGAGGGUAGAACGAAUAAGGGGGUAAGGGGAGCAGAGAGGCCAGGUGGGUCUCGGAGGGUGUGCGUGGGUAUCGGUGAGGACUUUUCUCCAACAGGAAGGAAGGUGGAGUGGGGAGUGGUGGUAAGCCCUGUAACUCCAGCUACUUGGGAGGCUGCGACAGGAGGAUCUCAAGUUCAAGGCCAGCCUGGGCAACUUAGAUCUUAUCUCAAAGAUUAAAAAAAAAUGUUUUGGUGGUAUUGGGGAUUAAACUCAGGAUCUCAGGCUAGGCAGCCAUUCUACCACUAAGCUAUAUCCCCAGCCCUUUAAAGUAAAAAAAGAAAAAAUAAAAAAGUAACAAUUAAUGAAAGGACUGAGGAUGUAGCUCAGCUUUUGCCAAGGGUGGACGUGGCUUUGGGUUCAAUCCCUAGUUACACACACACACACACACAUAAAUAAAUAAAUAAAUAGGACUGGGGAUUUUACUUAGUGUUAAAGCACAUCUGGGCUCAGUCCCCAGUACUGGGGGAUGGGAGGAGGAUGGAGCAGAGGAGGUUAGUGGCUUCCUCAGGUUCAGGAGCCUGUCCUUCCUCCCCCCAUCCUGGGCCUCUCCAGUAGAUCAGAGAUCCUCGUGUGGGUGACUGGCUGUUGCCAUCACACAUAAGUGCCUCCUCUGAGUAGAGCAGUAGCCAUGCAGCAAACAGGCCCCCAGGCUCCCCUUGGAGCUGGUGACAGGCUGCAGGUGGGUUCCAAACCUUAGGCAGCCCCUCUGUGUCCUUUGCUCCCCCCAGCUCCCCUUCCCCCAGGCCUGCUUCCCCUGAUCUGUGGGCUCAAAAUCAGCAACUGCUUGGCUUUCUUGCUUCACUUCUCCCUGGGGUCCCCAGAGUGCUGCGUACCUCCUGCAGGUGUACCCUGUAUUUAUGGGGGACAGACGGGUGCCUUGGGCCUUGAAGCCCAGAUGGGUAGACUGCAGGAUGGCCUGUCUGCCUGAGGAACAAGAUCCAGAGCUGAGGGCCUUCCAGAUGAGCCCAGAGGCUUCCUCUCCCAACAGCAGCUAGAACCUACGAGUCCUCCCCAUGUCUGCUGGCACUUCCUGAAGGCAGUCCGAGGCUCAGGGAGGACUUGCUGAAAGGGGACUGAGCAGCCGGCAGCUCUCAUCCGUCCUCCCUGCAGGGGUGCUGAUCUCCUGGCAGUCAACACUGAUGGGAACAUGCCUUAUGACCUGUGUGAGGAUGAGCAGACACUGGACUGCCUGGAGACUGCCAUGGCCCACAGGGGUGAGUGUGCUGUGCCUGCCUGCUCGGGUGGGCCUGGGCAUUCCGUCUCUGAGCCUGCUGCUCCACAGGCAUCACCCAGGACAGCAUUGAGGAGGCCCGGGCCGUGCCAGAGCUGCUCAUGCUGAAGGACCUCCAGAGCCUUCUGCAUGUUGGGGCUGACCUCAAUGACCCGCUGGACCAUGGAGCCACACUGGUGAGGACUUGGCCACGUGGAGGGGGUCUGUUCAGGGGCUGGGGGCUUGUUGGGUGGGUGUGGGACUGGGAUUCAGGGCGGGGUGGCCUGCCUGCAGCUGCACAUGGCCGCCGCCAGUGGGUUCAGUGAGGCAGCUGCCCUGCUGCUGGAGCAUGGAGCCAGCCUGACUGCCAAGGACCUCGACGGCUGGGAGCCGCUGCACGCUGCCGCCUACUGGGGACAGGUGAGUGUGGUCAGGAGCAGAUGCUGAGCGGGCUCUUGGCUGCGGCUCAAGCCCUCAGCAGCCCCCACUGGCUGGCCUGCAGGUGCACCUGGUGGAGCUGCUUGUGGCAAACGGGGCCGACCUGAAUGGGAGAUCCCUGACGGAUGAGACACCCCUUGGUGAGCUCCAGGGCUGCCUCCACCUGGGGGAAGGGACAGGCAGGGAGGGCCCCUGUGACGCUUGUGGUCAUCUCUCAGAUGUCUGUGGUGAUGAGGAGGUGCGGGCCAGGCUGCUGCAGCUGAAGCAGAAGCAGGAGGCACUCUUGCGAGCCCAGGGCCGCCAGCGCUCCCUGCUGCGCCGCCGCGCCUCCAGUGCAGGCAGCCGCGGGUGAGCUGCCCCACAGUCCAUGCCCAGCCCCCACCCCGGCUGUGCCUCAGGAUGGAUGGGAUGUCAGCCUGCAGGUGGAGCUGCCAGCACAACUAGGCCGGGUCUGAGGGACAGCUGGUGUCCCCUCUCACCUCCACCACACCCCGGCCUUCCAGGAAAGUGGUGAGGCGAGUGAGCCUGACCCAGCGCACCGACCUGUACCGCCAGGAGCAUGCCCAGGAGGCCAUCGUGUGGCAGCAGCCACCACCCCCAAGUCCAGAGCCGCUGGAGGAGGAUGAGGACCACCAGACAGACGCAGAGCUCUGGCUGCCACCCCCAGAGGUGAGAGUCCUGGCCUUGUGCUACCCACCUUCCACGUGGCUUUGGCAUGGGUCCUAGGCUGUGACCUGGCAUCAGUAUGUGAGUUUCCCAUUCACACUGGUCCAGUGUGGAGCUGGGAGGACCAGUGACCUUGUGCCCCUAGGUGGGCCAUGCUCCUCAGGGCUGGGCUGUUGUCCCCCUGCCCCUCACGGUUGUUCUUCUACAACCAGGUAGCCUAGAUCCUGAGGCCAGGGCAAGUAAGAGGAGCUGCCUCCUGACAGCCUUGGGCCCUGAUUCUGCCCACAGGAAGAUGACCCUGAGGUGGCCAGGUCCCACAAUGGCCGAGUAGGGGGCCCCCCAGGGCGGCACCUAUACUCCAAGCGGCUGGACCGGAGUGUGUCGUACCAGCUGAGCCCUGUGGAGAGUACCACCCCAGACACCCUUGUCCGGGACAAGGCCCACCACACCUUGGCCGAACUCAAACGCCAGCGGGCUGCUGCCAAGCUCCUGCGACCACAGCCUGAGGGGCCUGAGGCCCCUGAAUCUGGCUUGUCUGCUGACCCCGUGUCCUCCCAGCCGGACUGCGGCUUCAGGGCAGGCGGGGACCCACCCCUGCUCAAGCUCACAGCCCCAUCUGAGGAGGCCCCGAUGGAGAAGAGGCCAUGCUGCUUGCUCAUGUGAGGGGCUGUACCCAUUUCCAGGCCAGCCCGAGGCUUGCCCUGGAGGCCCACUCAGGGUGUGCCCUGGAACUGCAGGUGGGCAGACACCAGAGUCUUCCCCAGCUUCUACCCCUCAGGACAGUGGACUCUCUGUUGGGGAUGGACUUUAGGCAGAGCCGUAUCUGCAGGCAUCUGCUGCAGAGUGUUUGUCCUGUGACGCUUGAUAAAGGGGUGUUUGUCGUCAAGCCUUCCAGUGUCUCCGCUGGGGAGGGGCAGGCGGUGCUGCUGGACAGGUGCCGCCCAUGCCCUCGAGCAAGCACUCAGGCCUGUAGGUGCGUGCUGGGGCUCGCAAGUAGAGGCCUGGCCCCUGUGUGGGAGGGAGGCCCAAGGGCCACUGGGCAAGAAGCCUGGCCUUCCCCACACCCUCCCUGCCAUAUUCGACUUCCUGGAAGCACUGUUAACUCUUUGUUUUCCUGAGGGCAGUAGGGUACUUCAGAAGGAAGCUCUUUUCGGGCCAGAGCUGAGGGGGACCAUACCAAGGGGCAGGAGUCCUGACCUGCCAAGGGAGGGCGUAUUUUUUCCAGGAUUCCUGGGCCAGAGCCAGUAGAGCAAAUCUGGCACGGCCGGCAUCAGGCACUUCCCAGGGGCAGUGGUUCCCCAAUUCGUGGCCUGUUGCCCUGAUCCUGGGCCCUGGCUGACAACUUGUGCCUGGGCUGGUGUAGGUGACAAGCACUUGGCCACUCAGGCGCCGAGCUGGCUGGGUACAAUGUGUAAGGAUGAAGGGGCCCUUAGGGGACUCAAGCUGGAGGGCUGAGGGCACUGCCAGAUCAUCUCUCUGUCCACAGUAGGCAGCCCUGCAUGGCCACCCGCACUGGGUGGUAUGAGUUUAGGCUACCCUCCUCUCCUUGCUGGGUACUGACCUGGUCUGCUCAGUGUCCAGGGCCCGCCUGCCCUUCUAGCAUCUGUGGUUGGAGGGUUGCUGCCCUUAGCAGGUCUGGGGGAGGGCCAGGGGCUAGCUGCUGGUUAAAUUUAGUGAGUGGGGCGGUACCUCUGCCUAAGGUCCACCUACCACCACAGCUGCCACUUGGGCCCUGAUGCCAGAAGUCAGGCAGUGGCUGGCUCUGACUGGGGCCGGGCUCAUAUUAACCUGUCCUCUGAUGUGAGGGCCAAAGGACAGGCCUGUGAAUUGGGAGGCCAUUGUGGCAGCAGAACUGAGAGGUGCAAGUUGAGAGAGGUAUGUGUGUGUGUGUCUGUGUGCAUGUGUGCGCGCGCGUGCAUUCCCCACUUAGAACUCCUGGUGGCUUCUCUCCCAAUCUGCAGAAACAGAGGAGCCAAGGCUCCCCUUCCGUCUAACCAGCUGCUACUGCCCAGCUCAGAGGGCUGGCUUCCCGACUGUCAGUUCACCCUUGGAUCUGGCUGGCCUGGCAGCCUGCAGAGGCAAACCCUGGGAAUGGCCUGUGAGCCUGUGGAGGUGGGGUUCUGGGGGCCUAUUGCAGUUUACUUCCUGCUCUCUCCACCAAUCAGGAAGGAGGGAAGGUGACAGGCUACCCACCCCCAUGGCUGGGGUGUGGCCCCAAGGGCAACCCCAGGCUCCUGUGUGUUGAAAGGGUAUGAGGGCCACCUGGGGCAAGGGGUUCGCCUGCCCUGUCUGCAGCCCUCCUCCUCCCUCCAGCCCCUUGCAAUGCUGAUCAGGGACCAAGGUCCAGCUGCAGUGUUCUUGUAGUCUCUGGGCCAUGGCCAUUGCCCUGGUGGAACUCAGAGUCUCUACUCCUCACUCGUCCCCCCCAGCCCCCCCAGCAUUCCUAAGGUCUGGCUGUCACCUAGGAGACAGGUCUGUCUGCUGGCCUAAGAAAAGAUGGGGGUGCCAAGAGGGCUAGGCCUCAGCAGUGCCCUGCUGAGGUAAAUCCAGUGGCUACUGGCUGCAGUCUCACCUUAGGGGUCACCCCUACCCAACUCUGCCAACCUCUCAGGUCCACUAGGCCCAGGCAUUGAGCCCUUCCCUCCCCCAACACCAAGGCCGUCUCUCCCUACCCCCCAUGUGGGUCUCCUGCGCUCCUGUCAUGGGGACACUGGGCGGGCACUGGGACUCACCCCAAGCCCCGCCUGCUGCCUCACCCACGCCCUCUGCCUCCCUGGGGCAGAACUGUGCCCAGACUAUGGGGUGGAGCCGAGGCGGCUCCAGCUCCUGCAGCCCUUUCUGUCCCUUUCAUUGGAGCCAGUAGGCUGCAGUGAAGCGGGUGUCCUCUUACGUUGAGCUCCCAAGCCUGGACCCUGCUGCCCCCACCACCACCUCUGGGCCUGCCACCUCCUGAGCCACCUUCCUGCCUGAUCUGAGCAGAGUCAUGGCCUUGAGAGUAGGUGACCAGAGCCGGGCUGCACGGAAUGGGCUGAGGGAGAAGGUGCUGACACUGGACUCCAUGAACCCGUGUGUGCGCAAGGUGGAGUACGCCGUGCGUGGCCCCAUAGUGCUGCGGGCCUUGGAGCUGGAGCAGGAGCUGCGCCAGGUACGGUCCCGAGGCCCUGCUACCCUCCUGCUGUUCCUGGGCUACUAGAUCAGCCUCUGGCCCAGUGGCACUUGGGACUAGGGCUGUGGGGGUAAUGGUGCCCAAUCUGGCUGCCUUCUCCCUUUCCCUCCCAGGGUGUGAAGAAACCCUUCACCGAGGUCAUCCGUGCCAACAUUGGAGAUGCACAGGCCAUGGGGCAGAGGCCCAUCACUUUCUUCCGCCAGGUGAGGCUCCUGUACUGCCUGUGUCCCCUGGCUCCAGCCAUCAGUGUGCCCUGACCUCAUCAUUCCGUCCGCCCAGGUCUUGGCCCUCUGUGUCCACCCAGAUCUCUUGCACAGCCCUGACUUCCCUGAGGAUGCCAAACGAAGGGCUCAGCGCAUCUUGCAGGCAUGCGGGGGCCACAGCCUGGGUGAGUGCUGGUGCCAGGCGGGGACCAAGCCCCAGGAAGAAGCAGAGAAGGGUGGAUCUCUUGGGAGGGUUGCGGGAGGACUAGCCACUUUCAUGGGUCUGCUCUGCUCUGCUUGCCGGAGUCCAGGGGCCUAUAGCAUCAGCUCUGGCAUCCAGCUGAUCCGUGAGGAUGUUGCACGGUACAUCGAGAGGCGAGAUGGAGGCAUCCCUGCUGACCCCAACAACAUCUUCCUGUCCACGGGUGCCAGUGAUGCCAUCGUGGUAGGCUGGGCCACGGCAGGACACAAUGGCUCUUCAACUGUGGUUCCACAGGGCAGGGGACGGGUGCAGCCCCUUGGCCCUGCCAACACUGCGCUCCUCCCCCUGCCCACAGACGGUGCUGAAGCUGCUGGUGGCUGGUGAGGGCCGCCGGCGUACAGGCGUGCUCAUCCCUGUCCCGCAGUACCCGCUCUACUCGGCCACUCUGGCCGAACUGGACGCUGUGCAGGUGGACUACUACCUGGAUGAGGAGCGCACUUGGGCACUCGAUGUGGCUGAGCUGCGGCGCAGGCUGUCUCAAGCACGUGACCACUGCUGCCCACGCGCGCUCUGCGUGAUCAACCCCGGCAACCCCACCGGUGCGCCACCUCCCUGCCCCACCUACCCUGACCCCUCCAGCUGCUACAUGCUCCUAGGCCUACCACAAUGGGUCAGUCAACCCCCACUGUCCAGAUGAGCAGGGGUGGGGUGGUGGGUGCCCGCAGUUGACCCUGGCCGCGCUGCUGUCCCCAGGGCAGGUGCAGACCCGGGAGUGCAUCGAGGCUGUGAUCCGCUUCGCAUUCGAAGAGGGACUCUUUCUGAUGGCUGAUGAGGUGCUUACAGGGAUGCGCAAGGGAGGGUGGCUGCGGGUCAGCGGCCGGCCGCGUGACGACAGCGCCCCUGCAGGUGUACCAGGACAACGUGUACGCAGAGGGCUCGCGCUUCUACUCCUUCAAGAAGGUGCUCACCGAGAUGGGCCCACCGUACUCCACGCAGCAGGAGCUUGCCUCCUUCCACUCAGCCUCCAAGGGCUACAUGGGCGAGUGCGUGUGGGCCGGUGGCGGGGGGGGGUUCUUGGACUCCAGCCACUUUCCUGCCCCCUUCUUCCCGGCUGGGCCUCGACCUUGACGCCUGCCCUACCUGGCAGGUGCGGGUUCCGCGGUGGCUACGUGGAGGUGGUGAACAUGGACCCCGAAGUGCAGCGGCAGAUGCUGAAGCUGAUGAGUGUGCGGCUGUGCCCGCCUGUGCCGGGCCAGGCCCUGCUGGACAUGGUGGUCAGCCCGCCAGCACCCUCUGACCCCUCCUUUGCGCAGUUCCAGGAGGUGAGGGAAAUGAGGCCAAGGGCAUCUGGCGAGCCAGUUGGGAAAAGGAUUGAGGGCUAUUGUGUCCCUGCCAUGCCCUGAUUGUCCCCUCCGUGGCUGCAGGAGAGGCAAAUGGUGCUAGCUGAGCUGGCGGCCAAGGCCAAGCUCACGGAGCAGGUCUUCAAUGAAACUCCUGGCAUCAGAUGCAACCCAGUGCAGGGUGCCAUGUACUCCUUCCCUCGAGUGCAGCUGCCCCCCCGGGCGGUCCAGCUUGCUCAGGUCUGGUGGGGCAGGGCAGGGUGGGGCGGAGGCCUGGGCAUAGAGCUCUGACCGCCCUCCACACCGCAGGAGCUCGGCCUGGCCCCAGACAUGUUCUUCUGCCAGCGCCUCCUGGAGGAGACCGGAAUCUGCGUGGUGCCUGGGAGCGGCUUUGGGCAACUGGAGGGCACCUAUCACUUCCGGUGAGACCAGGCCCGCACAGCCUGCCAGUGCCUGCUGUGCCCCCUUUGGCUUAUAGCUUGCCCUUUCCAGGAUGACCAUCCUGCCCCCCAUGGAGAAGCUUCGACUGCUGCUGGAGAAGCUGAGCCGUUUUCAUGCCAAGUUCACCCGGGAGUACUCCUGAGGCCACCACAGGGACCAGGCUGGGCUGCCUGGACUGACUUUGCCCAGGGACCUGGUGGUCUCUGGACCCCUCAGAACUUGCUGCUGCCCCUUGGGGGCUGGGCAUCUCUCUCUGCCAGUUCCUAAUAAAGCUGAGUGUGGUUAUGACUCUGGAGGGGUGAGCCCCACUUCCAUGGGUGAUGACUCC
Molecule: long non-coding RNA, 8671 nt
Filed under: Marmota monax (woodchuck)
Lineage: Eukaryota; Metazoa; Chordata; Mammalia; Rodentia; Sciuridae
Source: RNAcentral